ACACAUGCAAGUCGAGGGGAAACGAUAUUGGAAGCUUGCUUCCGAUAGGCGUCGACCGGCGCACGGGUGAGUAACGCGUAUCCAACCUGCCCACCACUUGGGGAUAACCUUGCGAAAGUAAGACUAAUACCCAAUGAUAUCUCUAGAAGACAUCUGAAAGAGAUUAAAGAUUUAUCGGUGAUGGAUGGGGAUGCGUCUGAUUAGCUUGUUGGCGGGGUAACGGCCCACCAAGGCGACGAUCAGUAGGGGUUCUGAGAGGAAGGUCCCCCACAUUGGAACUGAGACACGGUCCAAACUCCUACGGGAGGCAGCAGUGAGGAAUAUUGGUCAAUGGGCGAGAGCCUGAACCAGCCAAGUAGCGUGCAGGAUGACGGCCCUAUGGGUUGUAAACUGCUUUUAUAAGGGAAUAAAGUGAGCCUCGUGAGGCUUUUUGCAUGUACCUUAUGAAUAAGGACCGGCUAAUUCCGUGCCAGCAGCCGCGGUAAUACGGAAGGUCCGGGCGUUAUCCGGAUUUAUUGGGUUUAAAGGGAGCGUAGGCCGGAGAUUAAGCGUGUUGUGAAAUGUAGAUGCUCAACAUCUGCACUGCAGCGCGAACUGGUUUCCUUGAGUACGCACAAAGUGGGCGGAAUUCGUGGUGUAGCGGUGAAAUGCUUAGAUAUCACGAAGAACUCCGAUUGCGAAGGCAGCUCACUGGAGCGCAACUGACGCUGAAGCUCGAAAGUGCGGGUAUCGAACAGGAUUAGAUACCCUGGUAGUCCGCACGGUAAACGAUGGAUGCCCGCUGUUGGUCUGAAUAGGUCAGCGGCCAAGCGAAAGCAUUAAGCAUCCCACCUGGGG
Molecule: ribosomal RNA, 837 nt
Filed under: uncultured bacterium
Lineage: Bacteria
Description: bacterial SSU rRNA
Rfam family: Bacterial small subunit ribosomal RNA
Source: RNAcentral